Molecule: ribosomal RNA, 441 nt
Filed under: uncultured bacterium
Lineage: Bacteria
Description: partial 16S ribosomal RNA
Rfam family: Bacterial small subunit ribosomal RNA
Source: RNAcentral
CCUACGGGUGGCAGCAGUGGGGAAUAUUGCGCAAUGGACGAAAGUCUGAUGCAGCAACGCCGCGUGAAGGAAGACGGUUUUCGGAUUGUAAACUUCUUUUCUUAGGGAAGAAUAAUGACAGUAACUUAAGAGUAAGCCACGGCUAACUACGUGCCAGCAGCCGCGGUAAUACGUAGGGGGCAAGCGUUUUCCGGAAUUACUGGGUGUAAAGGGAGCGUAGGCGGAGAGGCAAGUCAGCUGUGAAAGCCACGGGCUUAACUUGGGAACUGCAAGUAAAACUGGUUCUCUUGAGUGAAGUAGCGGUAGGAGGAAUUCAGAGUGUAGCGGUGAAAUGCGUAGAUAUUAGGAGGAACACCGGUGGCGAAGGCGGCUUACUGGGCAUUAACUGACGUUGAGGCACGAAAGUGUGGGGAGCAAACAGGAUUAGAUACCCUGGUAGUC